ACGAACGCUGGCGGCAUGCCUAACACAUGCCAGUCGAACGAGACCUUCGGGUCUAGUGGCGCACGGGUGCGUAACGCGUGGGAACCUGCCCUUAGGUUCGGAAUAACUCCCCGAAAGGGGUGCUAAUACCGGAUAAUGUCUUCGGACCAAAGAUUUAUCGCCUUUGGAUGGGCCCGCGUUGGAUUAGCUAGUUGGUAGGGUAAAAGCCUACCAAGGCGACGAUCCAUAGCUGGUCUGAGAGGAUGAUCAGCCACACUGGGACUGAGACACGGCCCAGACUCCUACGGGAGGCAGCAGUGGGGAAUAUUGGACAAUGGGCGAAAGCCUGAUCCAGCAAUGCCGCGUGAGUGAUGAAGGCCUUAGGGUUGUAAAGCUCUUUUACCCGGGAUGAUAAUGACAGUACCGGGAGAAUAAGCUCCGGCGAACUCCGU
RNAcentral lists this ribosomal RNA (431 nucleotides) under uncultured bacterium. RNAcentral describes it as "partial 16S ribosomal RNA". It matches the Rfam family "Bacterial small subunit ribosomal RNA", at positions 29 to 506 of the family's 1533-position model. The record is from RNAcentral.